UCCUUUUUGUCUGUCUCCUAACCAUUCAUUUAAUCUUAAGAAUUUAAAAUCAAAAGUUGUUUUCGUCAAAUGAAACUUGCGUUCGUGUUACACUAGUUUCCAUCAGCCAGUGACAUCAGCGGACUCAUCAGUGACGAGUCAAUGCACCGGUAGAAACUUCACAGGAUGCAUCCUCGCUUGUCCUACAUGCAAUGGAAGCCGACAACACCCGUGACCACUACUAUUACGUUCCUUCCCUUCACUCCAUCCGCGGUAUAUAUAUAUAUAUAUAUAUAUAUAUAUAUAUAUAUAUAUAUAUAUAUAUAUAUAUAAUUAUUUAUAUAUAAUGUAUAAAAA
RNAcentral lists this long non-coding RNA (336 nucleotides) under Musa acuminata (dwarf banana). Its description in RNAcentral is "long non-coding RNA (MACU_LNC004036)". The record is from RNAcentral. Lineage: Eukaryota; Viridiplantae; Streptophyta; Magnoliopsida; Zingiberales; Musaceae.